UUGAAAGGGAAACGAUUGAAGUCAGUCGUACCAGCGGGAAAUCAACCUUUCGAGUGGGGGGUUUUGGAGUUUUGAAGAGUGUCAAAACCUUUGAGAUUUCAAAAUAUUCGCUCUUUUGGUGUACUUUCUCGUGGGUAGGUUAACAUCGAUUUUGAUCAUCAUAAAAGGACUGGAGGAAUGUAGCUUCGAUCUUGUAUUGAAGUGUUAUAGCCUUUGGUAAAUGUGAUGAUUAGGAUCGAGGAUUGCAACGAAUACCCUUCUGGGCUAUCCGCCUGAUCUCUGAUACGUGGCCUUGGCAUCGAAAGCUUGCUUAUGGUAUCAAGGUAUUACGGUCAAAAGGUUAGAACGGAUUACAUUCGUUAAGGAUGUUGACGUA
Molecule: ribosomal RNA, 376 nt
Filed under: uncultured Glomeromycotina
Lineage: Eukaryota; Fungi; Glomeromycota
Description: LSU rRNA
Source: RNAcentral